Molecule: ribosomal RNA, 450 nt
Filed under: uncultured bacterium
Lineage: Bacteria
Description: partial 16S ribosomal RNA
Rfam family: Bacterial small subunit ribosomal RNA
Source: RNAcentral
GUGGGGAAUAUUGGACAAUGGGCGAAAGCCUGAUCCAGCCAUGCCGCGUGUGUGAAGAAGGUCUUCGGAUUGUAAAGCACUUUAAGUUGGGAGGAAGGGCAGUAAGUUAAUACCUUGCUGUUUUGACGUUACCGACAGAAUAAGCACCGGCUAACUUCGUGCCAGCAGCCGCGGUAAUACGAAGGGUGCAAGCGUUAAUCGGAAUUACUGGGCGUAAAGCGCGCGUAGGUGGUUUUGUAAGUUGGAGGUGAAAUCCCCAGGCUCAACCUGGGAACUGCCUCCAAAACUGCAUGACUAGAGUACGGUAGAGGGUAGUGGAAUUUCCUGUGUAGCGGUGAAAUGCGUAGAUAUAGGAAGGAACACCAGUGGCGAAGGCGACUACCUGGACUGAUACUGACACUGAGGUGCGAAAGCGUGGGGAGCAAACAGGAUUAGAAACCCUAGUAGUCC